CGCGUAGGCGGCCUCGCAUGUCUUUCGUGAAAUCCCUCGGCUUAACUGAGGACGUGCGGAAGAAACUGCGGGGCUCGAGUCCGGGAGAGGGGGGUGGGAAUUCCCAGUGUAGCGGUGAAAUGCGUAGAUAUUGGGAGGAACACCGGUGGCGAAGGCGGCCCCCUGGACCGGUACUGACGCUGAGGCGCGAAAGCGUGGGGAGCAAACG
This 208-nucleotide ribosomal RNA is filed under the name uncultured bacterium. RNAcentral's name for it is "partial 16S ribosomal RNA". It matches the Rfam family "Bacterial small subunit ribosomal RNA", at positions 568 to 774 of the family's 1533-position model. The record is from RNAcentral.